GACGAGCCACACGAACGUUAUUCGGAAUUACUGGGCUUAAAGGGUGCGUAGGCUGCGCGGAAAGUUGGGUGUGAAAUCCCUCGGCUCAACCGAGGAACUGCGCCCAAAACUGCCGUGCUCGAGGAAGAUAGAGGUAAGCGGAACUUACGGUGGAGCGGUGAAAUGCGUUGAUAUCGUAAGGAACACCUGUGGCGAAAGCGGCUUACUGGGUCUUUUCUGACGCUGAUGCACGAAAGCUAGGGGAGCAAACGGG
This 253-nucleotide ribosomal RNA is filed under the name uncultured bacterium. RNAcentral describes it as "partial 16S ribosomal RNA". It matches the Rfam family "Bacterial small subunit ribosomal RNA", at positions 524 to 776 of the family's 1533-position model. The record is from RNAcentral.